Molecule: non-coding RNA, 700 nt
Filed under: Pongo abelii (Sumatran orangutan)
Lineage: Eukaryota; Metazoa; Chordata; Mammalia; Primates; Hominidae
Source: RNAcentral
GUUCAUUCCCAAUAAAUGUGUCAUCCUGCAGGUCUGCCUUCAGGUCGAGAAAGCCCCCAGCCCAGUCCUUGGCUCCUACUGCCCCCACGACUGCAUGGCCCUGCCCAGGGAAGGAGAUAAGCGGAUCAGCUACCCACCGACCCACCCCCCGGAGCCAAGUGCACUCCCUGCAGCCCAUUGCUCCAGCCCAGCACGCACCCUGCUGAGGUCAGCACUGAUGCCGCUGGAGGACAGCUCCAUGUUGAAAGAAGUCAGGUCCUGUUUGCUUGUGCCUGGGGAACAAAGCAGAGAACAGUGUUGCUGAGUUUCUUCAUCACAUCUUUCAUGAAGUCCAGAAUUUUCUGAAAUUCAUCUGGCUGCAAGCUCAUCGAACCGUCAAACAGAAAUACCAGGUCUACGUUGCCCUUGAUACAUUCUGCAGAAGCCAGACGCAAGGGACCCAGUGAAGCAUCUCUGGUGUUUGACCUGCCCAUGCUGGUUCUCUCUAGGCACAGCCAUUUGGAGGGACAGGGUUGACCAGGCUGGUCUUGAACUCCUGGCCUCAAGCAAUCCUCCAGCUUUGGCUUCCCAAAGUGUUGGGAUUACAGAUGUGAGCCACCAGCCCGGCCUCAUCAGCUUUGUAUCUCACUCCCCUUCCCCUGUCAGAACCUCGCCCAAUGCCUGGCAUAUAAUAGUAGCUAAAUAAACAAGCUCUACUUAA